AGUGAACGCUGGCGGUAGGCCUAACACAUGCAAGUCGAACGGCAGCACAGUAAGAGCUUGCUCCUACGGGUGGCGAGUGGCGGACGGGUGAGGAAUACAUCGGAAUCUACUUUUUCGUGGGGGAUAACGUAGGGAAACUUACGCUAAUACCGCAUACGACCUACGAGUGAAAUAAGGGGAUCUUCGGACCUUGCGCGAUUGAAUUAGCCGAUGUCGGAUUAGCUAGUUGGCGGGGUAAAGGCCCACCAAGGCGACUAUCCGUAGCUGGACUGCGAGGAUGAUCAGCCACACUGGAACUGAGACACGGUCCAGACUCCUACGGGAGGCAGCAGUGGGGAAUAUUGGAACAUGGGCGCAAGCCUGAUCCAGCCAUACCGCGUGGGUGAAGAAGGCCUUCGGGUUGUAAAGCCCUUUUGUUGGGAAAGAAAAGCAGCAGGUUAAUACCCCGCUGUUCUGACGGUACCCAAAGAAUAAGCACCGGCUAACUUCGUG
This 492-nucleotide ribosomal RNA is filed under the name uncultured bacterium. Its description in RNAcentral is "partial 16S ribosomal RNA". It matches the Rfam family "Bacterial small subunit ribosomal RNA", at positions 29 to 507 of the family's 1533-position model. The record is from RNAcentral.